RNAcentral lists this long non-coding RNA (497 nucleotides) under Nicotiana benthamiana. RNAcentral's name for it is "long non-coding RNA (NBEN_LNC039934)". The record is from RNAcentral. Lineage: Eukaryota; Viridiplantae; Streptophyta; Magnoliopsida; Solanales; Solanaceae.
UGUUCUGACUGACUUUCAUCAGUCUCGUAGGCAACAUUGAUGUUUUCCUCAUCACUGUAUUCAUCUGACUCUGUACUACUGGAGUCAGAAUCGCUUUCUUAAAGGAUAGAAAAGAUUGACCCAGUACAAAUAGUUCUUUAGAGCCUAAUCCAAUUUUUAAGCCUCCUGAAUUUCGAAGGGAAAUGUUUCCCAAACUUAGUGAUAACAUUUCUGUCUCGGGUAAGCUCGUAGAACAGAUCACUGAAAAGUUAGCCCAUUUUCAUGUCACUGACAAGAAUAAGGCUAAAACUCCGAUCGUUCCUAACUCUUCCAUAUCCAAGGAAGCUUCUGGUUCUCCUAAGGAAGGUAAACCUUCCACUUUCGAAAGUGUCCGUACACUAACUGACAACUCCCUCCAAAUUUAACAGGACCAAAAACUAAAAUAUUAAAGCAGUAAUCAGAGUAUAAAACAGUAAAAGACUUACAGAAUUAAAAUCUUUAUUCCAUAAAACCCGAAG